This 67-nucleotide transfer RNA is filed under the name Bulinus truncatus. Its description in RNAcentral is "tRNA-Ile". Lineage: Eukaryota; Metazoa; Mollusca; Gastropoda; Planorbidae. The record is from RNAcentral.
AAGCAACCGCCGGUUGAACGGAAAUCAUUGAUGUUGAUUAAUAUGAAUUAUUUAAAUUCGUUGCUUA